GACGAACGCUGGCGGCGUGCUUAACACAUGCAAGUCGAGCGAUGAAGUUCCUUCGGGAACGGAUUAGCGGCGGACGGGUGAGUAACACGUGGGUAACCUGCCUCAUAGAGGGGAAUAGCCUUCCGAAAGGAAGAUUAAUACCGCAUAAGAUUGUAAUGCUGCAUGGCAUAUCAAUUACAGGAGCAAUCCGCUAUGAGAUGGACCCGCGUCGCAUUAGCUAGUUGGUGAGGUAACGGCUCACCAAGGCGACGAUGCGUAGCCGACCUUAGAGGGUGAUCGGCCACAUUGGGACUGAGACACGGCCCAGACUCCUACGGGAGGCAGCAGUGGGGAAUAUUGCACAAUGGGGGAAACCCUGAUGCAGCAACGCCGCGUGAGUGAUGACGGUCUUCGGAUUGUAAAGCUCUGUCUUCAGGGACGAUAAUGACGGUACCUGAGGAGGAAGCCACGGCUAACUACGUGCCAGCAGCCGCGGUAA
Molecule: ribosomal RNA, 478 nt
Filed under: uncultured bacterium
Lineage: Bacteria
Description: partial 16S ribosomal RNA
Rfam family: Bacterial small subunit ribosomal RNA
Source: RNAcentral